UACGGGGGGGGCAAGCGUUGUUCGGAAUUACUGGGCGUAAAGGGCUCGUAGGCGGCCAACUAAGUCAGACGUGAAAUCCCCAGGCUCAACCUGGGAACUGCGUCUGAUACUGGAUGGCUUGAAUCCGGGAGAGGGAUGUGGAAUUCCAGGUGUAGCGGUGAAAUGCGUAGAUAUCUGGAGGAACAUCGGUGGCGAAGGCGACAUCCUGGACCGGUAUUGACGCUGAGGCGCGAAAGCCAGGGGAGCAAACGGG
Molecule: ribosomal RNA, 253 nt
Filed under: uncultured bacterium
Lineage: Bacteria
Description: partial 16S ribosomal RNA
Rfam family: Bacterial small subunit ribosomal RNA
Source: RNAcentral